CACCAAAUUGAACAGAUAGCUACACUUAAUUUGUGACAGUUGUUUUAAGGGUCUUUAUUAAUUAACAUUGUGACACUUAUACACUUAAUUUUAAAAGCGUCAGUACUCUGUCUAUAUCUUUCACUAUUUUUUUUAACUUUCUAAUUUUUUCAAAACUGGAUUUCACUAUUUCACUGUGGUUUCCGAUGAGAUGAGAAGAGGUGAAGAAUAGGGAAAGUAACACAGCAAGCUUCACCAUGCUUCAGUUCGUCGUUCAUCGUCUCACCAUUCACCAUCGCGGUUCGCAUUCGCUGUUCAUUGUCGCGGUUCGCGUUCGCCGUCCCUGCGUUGUCCUUUCUUUUCCUCUCUUUUCCGAGUGCGAACCCUAAUUCUCCGUACGGUGACUUUUUCUUCUCUUCCAACCUCAAUACUUGACUUUGAUAGUGAGUAUUCAAUUGUUCUUCUAUUAUAAUUUUUACCCUGCAAUUUUUUUGUUGUUGCUUAAUGUUUGUUGUGCUGAAAUUGUUGCAAUUGUUGGUUCUUAGUACUCUAUUUUGUUGUAAUUUAUCGUAAUGAUUAUAUCCUCAUGUUCAUAUUUGCUAUUUUUAUUUGAAUUCUCUUAUUUAUUUUUCCGCACUCAACAUGUUCGAUAAAAUGCUUCAACUAGAUUUCUUUGAAUGCUGUAUUUCUUAUUUCUUCUUUUGAUUUCUUUGAUUUUUUGUGCCUUGAUGAUAUCAUGAACGGGUUAGUGACCUUCUUGAAUUAUGCAAAUUGCUACAACAGAGAUGGAAAAGCUAAUUUGCUGAACUUAUUGUUCACUGGUGGUUAAUCACGAGGUUGGCAAAUGCUUCAACUAAAUUAACAAACAGGUUGGCUGUGGAAAACUUGAAUGAGUUGUGCUGGUACCCUAAAAUGUGGACAGAUGGCUCACGUCAGGUGCAUAGUUCAGCAAGCUUAGGGGUAAAAACUAAUUAUUCUUUAUAUUCCUUAUAUUUUGAUUCCACUUACAUAUUAAAUGAGUAUGACUUAUUUUUCUUCUAAUUUUAGACUAAGGUUUCAUAUCAGUGAGUCAAUGACAAUAUAAUUCAUGAUAAUUAUUAGUUCGCACGUCAUGUUACAAAUUAAAAUGAUAAAUAGUCUUUUUCCCCUCCUUUUAUUAAUCUAAUGAGUUUUAGAAUUGAGUUAUAAAUAGUUUUUAGUGUUGAGUGACACCAGGUACUUUUUAAAAAAAUCUAUUUUUGUAACUGGGUCUUCUUUGUUCUCCUUAAAGGUUGGAACUUGUUUUUAAACUAAUGUUAGCUUAGUUCAAGUGGUUCUGCAUUGGUUAAUUGGUAUAAUUUGGUCAAUGUCUAGUUCUAGUAUGCCUAUAAGUUGAAACUAUUUAAUUUGGUUAAUGUCUAGUUCUAGUAUGCCUAAUUAAUUGUUAUUAUUUAAUUAGGAGUUUUGAUGGACAUUAUCUUUACUGCAUAUUUAAUUAAGGCAUUCGAAUCCAAUCCCAUCGAUAAGGCUUUGUUCAUUACGUGGUGCUAUGGCUCAUGUAUUUUGUAUAUCUGAUUUUUGAGAUAUAUGCCACAGGCCAGGUUCGAUCAAUCUUCAAAUUUGUGUUCUCCAAUCAUUACGGAUUCACCUUUAAGACAUUUUUAAUUGUGUUCUGUUUUAGUCAUAAAUAAUUACUACUUUCCAAUUUUUUGUAGAAAAAUUUAACCUAUUGGAAUAAUUACUAUUUUGCAUUUUCUUCUUAUUGAUGCACUUACCACUGUAUAUGAUGGGUGAUUCUGGCACCGUGGAGUCUGUGUUUAGGGCCAUUCUAUUUGUAUGAAAAUAUUAAUUAUUUAGAAAUUUCUUCCUGCAAAUUUAGAGCAUGCUUUGUAUUUCACUGAUAUUGAAUGGCUUACACCUUUUGGACAUUAAUUUGAGGCAAUGAACAAUAGUAAUCUAAAACCUAGUUCAAGAAAUGUACUAUGCUUGUGCUUGAUUGUUGCUAGUGGUUCCAGGCUGGUUAAUUUUUCUGUGUAAAAUAUCAAUAAUAGAGCAGAUAUAAUAACUCUUAUUAUUUCUCACUGUUACAACUCUUACACUGUAUACAUACCCAAGCAUAGUUUAGUUGUUGAUGAAGCCCUCAAAUAUUUUAAUCUUUUGCUUAUAACUACUACUUCUUGCUCUUGGAUUAUUUUCAUAGUUUAUUCUUGUGUUUUCAACCCGGAUUUGAAGUGACUGAAGAUUGAUCAUUCACCAUAAGGCUUUUGGACUGAACCAGAAUAAUGUUGUCAACUGCAAAAGAAGCUAUUGAGCUUGCAUCAGAGGGACUGGAUACCAUUGAAGCAAUUGAUUGUGAUUUAGGAUCAUCUUGGAGUUUCCUUUUGGGAACUUGAUUCCAAGUAUACUGUGUUGGUAUGGUGCAAUCAAAUACUUCAAUGUUUCCUUCUGAAUUGAGAGGUGAAAAGGUUUGAUUAAGGCCUAUCUGUGAAACCUUUGUCAUGUUUGGAUCAGGAAUGAUGUUAUUAGUAGCUAGUGCUCUUCUUUGUUCUGUUUUAUUAAGCUCUGACAAAGUGAAAUCAGAUUCAUGAAGUUGCACUAAUCCAUUAUUUGGACAUCUGAAGCCGUCAAUUGAAACUACAUUUUGUUGCUUGUUCAUAGAGUUACUUAAUACUAUAGCUUCCGGGAUCUUUCGGAUUCAAAUCCGGAUUCUUUAUUCCACUUGAGGAGCACUUCUUCUGAUCUCUCUGCUUCUGCAACCUACUCAAGUAGAGCCUGUAUUCCAAGAUAUUUGGAGCCAAAUUGUCUGAAGGUGUUUUCAUUGGCUCAUUUCUCUCCAUGUCAUCAAUAGCAGUGAGGACAAGAGUUGCUUGUGAAGUAAUUGUUGAAGCUGGAUACUAUUGAGGUUGAAGGUGAAGCGAAGUUGCGGAGAAAAGUUGAGGAUUAAGUUACAAGUACAAUUGUUAGCUUUAUAUGUUUGGAUUAAGUUGGGAUUUUUUGAAUUUAUAUUUUAUGGAUUAUGACUAUGUAAAAUUUGUAGAAUUCAAUUUUGAAAUAUAUUGUUUCUAUUUUUGUAAAACUUGUGAGAUUGAGUUUAAAUUUGUUGAAAUAUAAUGCUAUUUAUUA
Arachis ipaensis is the source of this 3081-nucleotide non-coding RNA. Lineage: Eukaryota; Viridiplantae; Streptophyta; Magnoliopsida; Fabales; Fabaceae. The record is from RefSeq and is a predicted model, not a curated record.